Long non-coding RNA from Thunnus maccoyii (southern bluefin tuna), 429 nucleotides. RefSeq lists it as uncharacterized. The transcript is spliced from 3 exons. Lineage: Eukaryota; Metazoa; Chordata; Actinopteri; Scombriformes; Scombridae. The record is from RefSeq and is a predicted model, not a curated record.
AUGGACAGUCCUGGACAAAGUGCCCAGUACUGCUCCUACACCACCAUGGACAGUGAUUCUAAGGAAAUCAUAUCUAUUGUGACCAUUGACAAAAGAUCCAAAGACCAGCUGACACAAGGCCUCUGGAGUAGUGCGCUUGUGGGAUAUGUGGCAUGAAGAUAAAAAUCUUUCCAAGAAGAUUGCUGCAGUGGGACAGCAGGCGGGACAAAAGUUCCUGCUGCAGUGGAUCAAAGACAUAGUAAACCACUUCUGGAUUUCUGUGGGGCACUGCUGGUUGAAGAAUGGGAUGCCAUCCCAUAGCAGUGUGUGACCAGCAUGAGGAGGAGGUGCCAGGCUGUUGUUUAGCAACUUUUUAAAUUGUAAUCACUUUGGUGAUCCCUUGUGCGACUGUUCAGCAAUUGUAAUUUAUCCAAAACUUUGGUUUGGUAA